CCUCGGCCAUCGCUCCUUGUCUCAAAGACUAAGCCAUGCACGUCUGAGUGUGAACACUUUGCACUGUGAAACUGCGAAUGGCUCAUUAAAUCAGUUAUCAUUUAUUUGGUGGUCUCCUUASCACUCGGAUAACCGUGGUAAUUCUAGACCUAAUACGUGCAGCAUAUCCCGACUUCUGGAAGGGAUGUAUUCAUUGGAUAAAAGGCCGAUCAGGGCUUGCCCGUUGUUGCAGCGAAUCAUGGUGACUUGUGGAAUCGCAUGGCCUUUGAGCCGACGAUGUUCCAUUCAAAUUCUGCCCUAUGAAUUUUCGAUGGUAGGAUAGAGGCCUACCAUGGUGGUAACGGGUGAUGGAGAAUUAGGGUUCGAUUGCGGAGAGGGAGCCUGAGAGAUGSCUACCACAUCCAAGGAAGGCAGAAGGAGCAUAAAUUACCCAAUCCUGACAUAGGGAGGUAAUGACAAUGAAUAACAAUACUGGGCUCUUUUGAGUCCGGUAAUUGGAAUGAGAAUAGCCGUAAACUCCUUAAAUGAGGAUCCAUUGGAGGGCAAGUCUGGUGCCAGCVGCCGCGGUAAUUCCAGCUCCAACAGCAUAUAUUUAAGUUGUUGCAGUUCAAAAGCUCGUAGUUGGAUUUUGGGUGGGAGGGGUUGGUCCGCUCUUGCGGGYGUGUACCGGCCCUUUCGCCUUUCUUGCCGGGUAUGCGUUCCUUGCCUUUAUUGGCUGGGAUCCAGAGCCGGCGCUGUUACUUUAAAAGAAUUAGAGUGUUCAAAGCAGGCCUGUGCUCUGAACAUAUUAGCAUGGAAUAACGCGAUAGGACUCUGGUCCUAUUUCGUUGGUCUUCGRGAUUGGAGUAAUGAUUAAUAGAGACGGUUGGGGGCAUUGGAAUUCCAUUGUCACARGUGAAAUUCCUGGAUUURUGGAUGAUGAACUUCUGCGAAAGCAUUUGCCAAGRACKUUCUCAUUAAUCAAGAAUGAAAGUUGGGGGAUCGAAGACGAUCARAUACCGUCCUAGUCUCAACCAUAAAYGAUGYCGACUAGGGAUUGGCGGAUGUCUAUUGGAUGACUCUGCCAGCACCUUGUGAGAAAUCAAAGUUUACGGGUUUCGGGGGGAGUAUGGUCGCAAGGCUGAACCCCGGUGCCCUGCCUCGCCCCCCGAACGAGGGGUCGGGCGGGCCCGUGGCAGCGGCUGGUGGCGACGGCUUUGCAACUUCUUAUUGAUGUACCUGCUCUGAUUUGUCGCUGUCUGGGUUGACAGCCCCCUUCUGUUCUGGUCGAGGGGUCGGUACUGUCGGAACGGCACCAUAUUGUAGAACUCUCGGCAAACGAAUAUUUUGGCCCUCGCAGCAAUGAAGAGUGCAGCGAAAUGCGGUACUGAAUGUGAAUUGCAGAAAUCCGUGAGCCAUCGAUACCUUGAACGCUCGUGGCGCCCGAGGCUUCUGCCGAGGGCACGCCCGCCUGAGCAUCAUUGGAUUCCUCCGUUUCGGAGAGUGGUGGGGUCCGUGGUCGUGGCUUCCCUCACUUCCCACUUGGAGAGCGUGGAUAGCCUAAAGUGGAAGAGAAUUGGAGAGCAUUCCGAGCGGGCCUGUGGGGGCCGGAGCCUAGAACGGUGCGUUUCAGGGUGGUGGUCUUUCUUCCCUGAAAACGGCACGUAAGGUCGUCCCUCCGGUUUGUGCCCUGUUGUUGCCCUCCGCCCUGUUGUUGCCCUCCAGCACCCGUUUGUGGGUGGUGGUCUUCGUUUCCCUGAAAACGGUACGUAAGGUCGUCCCUCCAGU
Molecule: ribosomal RNA, 1767 nt
Filed under: Chara braunii
Lineage: Eukaryota; Viridiplantae; Streptophyta; Charophyceae; Charales; Characeae
Description: SSU rRNA
Source: RNAcentral